Molecule: non-coding RNA, 129 nt
Organism: Candidatus Burkholderia crenata
Lineage: Bacteria; Pseudomonadati; Pseudomonadota; Betaproteobacteria; Burkholderiales; Burkholderiaceae
Source: Rfam
CAAAGCCGCGCGCUGACGAAGAGAAAGCGGAUGUGCGGCCGACCCAGGAGGACAAGCGAGCAAUGGAUCGCGAAGUCCAUAACCAUCAAGGGUGGGGGUGGUAGUUCUCCGGCCGGUGGGCGCUCCAGG